This 302-nucleotide ribosomal RNA is filed under the name uncultured Candidatus Scalindua sp. RNAcentral's name for it is "bacterial SSU rRNA". It matches the Rfam family "Bacterial small subunit ribosomal RNA", at positions 365 to 658 of the family's 1533-position model. Lineage: Bacteria; Pseudomonadati; Planctomycetota; Candidatus Brocadiia; Candidatus Brocadiales; Candidatus Scalinduaceae. The record is from RNAcentral.
UUCGCAAUGCCCGAAAGGGUGACGAAGCGACGCCGCGUGGGUGAGGAAGGCCUUCGGGUUGUAAAAUCCUGUCAGGAGUUAAGAAAUGUAAGUUUGAGAAUACCAAAUUUACUUGACAAAAGCUCCAAAGGAAGCCACGGCUAACUCUGUGCCAGCAGCCGCGGUAAUACAGAGGUGGCGAGCGUUGUUCGGAAUUAUUGGGCGUAAAGAGCACGUAGGUGGACUUGUAAGUCAGAUGUGAAAGCCUUCUGUUCAACGGAAGAAUUGCAUCUGAAACUGCUAAUCUUGAGUAUAGGAGGGGA